Long non-coding RNA from Galeopterus variegatus (Sunda flying lemur), 546 nucleotides. RefSeq lists it as uncharacterized. The record is from RefSeq and is a predicted model, not a curated record. The transcript has 2 exons. Lineage: Eukaryota; Metazoa; Chordata; Mammalia; Dermoptera; Cynocephalidae.
CUCAAGAUCUUUAUUGAUUUAACUGUAACAGCAACCAUUGGUGAGAAUUUAGUUUUUUCCCUAAUUUCCAAACACCUGCUGGUUUGGAAGGAUGUUUAAAAAAAACAAAUGAUCAUGGAAUCACACAGGAUUGCCUCAAGGACCGCACAGUACCCUCUGCUAUCCACCCACAACAGUGAAAUGGACAGGAGGGGUGAGGGAACAACAUAUGAAGGGAGAAAAAGAAAAGGCCAAGGAAAGUGCUGGUAGUCUCCACUUUUCCAUUCAGAAUGGAUUGAACUGGGCCAUUGGUGGCACUUGACAGGGAAGGGCUUAUUUCUUUUUUAAAAAUAUUUUAAAGAUGCUUAAAAUGGACAUCUGAAUAUGUGAGUGUCCUCUGGGCUCUUCAAGACACCUUCUUUAAGGUUUUCCCCUGGGGUUGUAGAGGGUCUCCUCACCCAGGUGGAAAGAGAUGGGCCCCAUCUGCAGGUGAAGGAAAGGCACUGGCGUGCGGGACUCUGAUUUGGACAAAGUAGGAGCAGGAUAGCUCACACAACUCGCCCCUCA